CGUCUCAACAAAACUCCUCACUAACAAAUAACACAUCUCUAACAAAUAAAUGUAAACAAACAAAAAAAAUGACGACUUUUGCGGAAUGGUGGCAUAGAUGGAGUCGCCACGACGCUCCCGCCCAACCUGUGGUGCCUCCGGUGUGUCUCAUGGCACCACCCAUCUCCGGCGGACCGGAGUCUAAUCCAGGCGGCUUGACGGCCAGCCCAUCUCCCCAGGUACUUAAGGCUAACAUUGGCAGAGUACACUUGAGUUCCUAAUGGACUCAUUCCCGGCGAAACGUCACCCUAGCCCGGGAUGCGCUCGCGCCAAGACUGCGGCAGCGGAGAAGAAGUGGCGGUCCGCUUAAGGAAAAAGCCACAAACUGGCUGGAGAAGUACUCUACAUUCCCUUUUCUUUUCUACCUAUUAUCCCUGCUGGAGCUCCAAGAGAAAUAAAGGGGAUGGAACUAGUGUUGCACAAAUCCCUGACUCAAGUUAAGAGACGCGGAGAAACAAGCACACGGAACCGAUUCGACAACUAGAAGUCACUCGGCGACCCGCAAAUGCUUCAGUGGCGUGAGUGGCCAGAAAUCGCGGCAACUGAUGGCGACGGCAAGCCCGAGGAAAGCAGAGACCCUCGGAGCCACGGCCACGUCGUUUCGGAGAAGGGACAGAGCCGAUCAAAGUCCCAAAUAUGGGUACCAAAACCUGCCGGUUCCAGACGGCGCUUAAUGGAACGGACUCACCGGUUGGCUUGACGGAUGGCUCAAUUCCCGGCUGCUACGAGGCUCGUUGGAUAAUUAUAAUUAUAUAAUUAUAAUUUCACAAUUUCCCAAUAAAAAUCGCCGUGGCCAGCGAUUGAUUCACUACCACGCUGAAAUUAAACGUU
Non-coding RNA from Drosophila kikkawai, 870 nucleotides. Lineage: Eukaryota; Metazoa; Arthropoda; Insecta; Diptera; Drosophilidae. The record is from RefSeq and is a predicted model, not a curated record.